Molecule: ribosomal RNA, 320 nt
Filed under: uncultured eukaryote
Lineage: Eukaryota
Description: partial 18S ribosomal RNA
Rfam family: Eukaryotic small subunit ribosomal RNA
Source: RNAcentral
CCCUUAGAUGUUCUGGGCUGCACGCGUGCUACAAUGGCGCUUGCAACAAGAUUGCCAACCCGAAAGGGUGAGCGGAUCUUUGAAGUGGCGUCGUGAUCGGGACAGUUGAUUGCAAUUAUUCGACUCGAACGAGGAAUUCCUUGUAAUCGCGAUUCAUCAUAUCGCGCUGAAUACGUCCCUGCCCUUUGUACACACCGCCCGUCGCUCCUACCGAUUGAGCGAUCCGGUGAAUGUUUUGGACUGGUGUCCGCAAGCGUUUCGCUUCGGACGCCACGAAAUUUUGUAAACCUUAUCGCUUAGAGGAAGGAAAAGUCGUAACA